GGCUUUCUGGAUUCGUACAGAGAUUUCGUCAGACAACAAUCCAUUAAGACUGACCAAACUUCCAGGAUAAGUGAAGCU
Molecule: microRNA precursor, 78 nt
Filed under: Schistosoma margrebowiei
Lineage: Eukaryota; Metazoa; Platyhelminthes; Trematoda; Strigeidida; Schistosomatidae
Description: mir-3492 microRNA precursor family
Rfam family: mir-3492 microRNA precursor family
Source: Rfam by way of RNAcentral